This 2905-nucleotide ribosomal RNA is filed under the name Salmonella enterica subsp. enterica serovar Enteritidis. RNAcentral describes it as "bacterial LSU rRNA". It matches the Rfam family "Bacterial large subunit ribosomal RNA". The record is from RNAcentral. Lineage: Bacteria; Pseudomonadati; Pseudomonadota; Gammaproteobacteria; Enterobacterales; Enterobacteriaceae.
UUAAGCGACUAAGCGUACACGGUGGAUGCCCUGGCAGUCAGAGGCGAUGAAGGGCGUGCUAAUCUGCGAUAAGCGCCGGUAAGGUGAUAUGAACCGUUAUAACCGGCGAUACCCGAAUGGGGAAACCCAGUGUGACUCGUCACACUAUCAUUAACUGAAUCCAUAGGUUAAUGAGGCGAACCGGGGGAACUGAAACAUCUAAGUACCCCGAGGAAAAGAAAUCAACCGAGAUUCCCCCAGUAGCGGCGAGCGAACGGGGAGGAGCCCAGAGCCUGAAUCAGCAUGUGUGUUAGUGGAAGCGUCUGGAAAGGCGCGCGAUACAGGGUGACAGCCCCGUACACAAAAGCGCAUGUGCUGUGAGCUCGAUGAGUAGGGCGGGACACGUGGUAUCCUGUCUGAAUAUGGGGGGACCAUCCUCCAAGGCUAAAUACUCCUGACUGACCGAUAGUGAACCAGUACCGUGAGGGAAAGGCGAAAAGAACCCCGGCGAGGGGAGUGAAAAAGAACCUGAAACCGUGUACGUACAAGCAGUGGGAGCACAGGUUUACCUGUGUGACUGCGUACCUUUUGUAUAAUGGGUCAGCGACUUAUAUUCUGUAGCAAGGUUAACCGAAUAGGGGAGCCGGAGGGAAACCGAGUCUUAAUUGGGCGUUAAGUUGCAGGGUAUAGACCCGAAACCCGGUGAUCUAGCCAUGGGCAGGUUGAAGGUUGGGUAACACUAACUGGAGGACCGAACCGACUAAUGUUGAAAAAUUAGCGGAUGACCUGUGGCUGGGGGUGAAAGGCCAAUCAAACCGGGAGAUAGCUGGUUCUCCCCGAAAGCUAUUUAGGUAGCGCCUCGUGAAUUCAUCUCCGGGGGUAGAGCACUGUUUCGGCUAGGGGGCCAUCCCGGCUUACCAACCCGAUGCAAACUGCGAAUACCGGAGAAUGUUAUCACGGGAGACACACGGCGGGUGCUAACGUCCGUCGUGAAGAGGGAAACAACCCAGACCGCCAGCUAAGGUCCCAAAGUCAUGGUUAAGUGGGAAACGAUGUGGGAAGGCCCAGACAGCCAGGAUGUUGGCUUAGAAGCAGCCAUCAUUUAAAGAAAGCGUAAUAGCUCACUGGUCGAGUCGGCCUGCGCGGAAGAUGUAACGGGGCUAAACCAUGCACCGAAGCUGCGGCAGCGACACUGUGUGUUGUUGGGUAGGGGAGCGUUCUGUAAGCCUGUGAAGGUGUGUCGUGAGGCAUGCUGGAGGUAUCAGAAGUGCGAAUGCUGACAUAAGUAACGAUAAAGCGGGUGAAAAGCCCGCUCGCCGGAAGACCAAGGGUUCCUGUCCAACGUUAAUCGGGGCAGGGUGAGUCGACCCCUAAGGCGAGGCCGAAAGGCGUAGUCGAUGGGAAACGGGUUAAUAUUCCCGUACUUGGUGUUACUGCGAAGGGGGGACGGAGAAGGCUAUGUUGGCCGGGCGACGGUUGUCCCGGUUUAAGCGUGUAGGUGUGUGUUCCAGGUAAAUCCGGUUCACUUUAACACUGAGGCGUGACGACGAGGCACUACGGUGCUGAAGCAACAAAUGCCCUGCUUCCAGGAAAAGCCUCUAAGCAUCAGGUAACAUCAAAUCGUACCCCAAACCGACACAGGUGGUCAGGUAGAGAAUACCAAGGCGCUUGAGAGAACUCGGGUGAAGGAACUAGGCAAAAUGGUGCCGUAACUUCGGGAGAAGGCACGCUGACACGUAGGUGAAGUGAUUUACUCAUGGAGCUGAAGUCAGUCGAAGAUACCAGCUGGCUGCAACUGUUUAUUAAAAACACAGCACUGUGCAAACACGAAAGUGGACGUAUACGGUGUGACGCCUGCCCGGUGCCGGAAGGUUAAUUGAUGGGGUCAGCGCAAGCGAAGCUCCUGAUCGAAGCCCCGGUAAACGGCGGCCGUAACUAUAACGGUCCUAAGGUAGCGAAAUUCCUUGUCGGGUAAGUUCCGACCUGCACGAAUGGCGUAAUGAUGGCCAGGCUGUCUCCACCCGAGACUCAGUGAAAUUGAACUCGCUGUGAAGAUGCAGUGUACCCGCGGCAAGACGGAAAGACCCCGUGAACCUUUACUAUAGCUUGACACUGAACAUUGAGCCUUGAUGUGUAGGAUAGGUGGGAGGCUUUGAAGUGUGGACGCCAGUCUGCAUGGAGCCGACCUUGAAAUACCACCCUUUAAUGUUUGAUGUUCUAACGUGGACCCGUUACCCGGGUUGCGGACAGUGUCUGGUGGGUAGUUUGACUGGGGCGGUCUCCUCCUAAAGAGUAACGGAGGAGCACGAAGGUUGGCUAAUCCUGGUCGGACAUCAGGAGGUUAGUGCAAUGGCAUAAGCCAGCUUGACUGCGAGCGUGACGGCGCGAGCAGGUGCGAAAGCAGGUCAUAGUGAUCCGGUGGUUCUGAAUGGAAGGGCCAUCGCUCAACGGAUAAAAGGUACUCCGGGGAUAACAGGCUGAUACCGCCCAAGAGUUCAUAUCGACGGCGGUGUUUGGCACCUCGAUGUCGGCUCAUCACAUCCUGGGGCUGAAGUAGGUCCCAAGGGUAUGGCUGUUCGCCAUUUAAAGUGGUACGCGAGCUGGGUUUAGAACGUCGUGAGACAGUUCGGUCCCUAUCUGCCGUGGGCGCUGGAGAACUGAGGGGGGCUGCUCCUAGUACGAGAGGACCGGAGUGGACGCAUCACUGGUGUUCGGGUUGUCAUGCCAAUGGCACUGCCCGGUAGCUAAAUGCGGAAGAGAUAAGUGCUGAAAGCAUCUAAGCACGAAACUUGCCCCGAGAUGAGUUCUCCCUGAGACUUAAAGUCUCCUGAAGGAACGUUGAAGACGACGACGUUGAUAGGCCGGGUGUGUAAGCGCAGCGAUGCGUUGAGCUAACCGGUACUAAUGAACCGUGAGGCUUAACCUU